Molecule: ribosomal RNA, 253 nt
Filed under: uncultured bacterium
Lineage: Bacteria
Description: partial 16S ribosomal RNA
Rfam family: Bacterial small subunit ribosomal RNA
Source: RNAcentral
UACGAAGGGGGCUAGCGUUGUUCGGAUUUACUGGGCGUAAAGCGCGUGUCGGCGGGUCGUUAAGUUGGGGGUGAAAUCCCGAGGCUCAACCUCGGAACUGCCUUCAAAACUGGCGACCUGGACUCAAGCAGAGGCAAGUGGAAUUGCGAGUGUAGAGGUGAAAUUCGUAGAUAUUCGCGGGAACACCAGUGGCGAAGGCGACUUGCUGGGCUUGUAGUGACGCUGAGACGCGAAAGCGUGGGGAGCAAACAGG